ACACAUGCAGUCGAGCGGAGAGAGGUAGCUUGCUACUGAUCUUAGCGGCGGACGGGUGAGUAAUACUUAGGAAUCUGCCUAUUAGUGGGGGACAACAUCUCGAAAGGGAUGCUAAUACCGCAUACGUCCUACGGGAGAAAGCAGGGGAUCUUUAUGACCUUGCGCUAAUAGAUGAGCCUAAGUCGGAUUAGCUAGUUGGUGGGGUAAAGGCCUACCAAGGCGACGAUCUGUAGCGGGUCUGAGAGGAUGAUCCGCCACACUGGGACUGAGACACGGCCCAGACUCCUACGGGAGGCAGCAGUGGGGAAUAUUGGACAAUGGGGGGAACCCUGAUCCAGCCAUGCCGCGUGUGUGAAGAAGGCCUUAUGGUUGUAAAGCACUUUAAGCGAGGAGGAGGCUUACCUGGUUAAUACCCAGGAUAAGUGGACGUUACUCGCAGAAUAAGCACCGGCUAACUCUGUGCCAGCAGCCGCGGUAAUACAGAGGGUGCAAGCGUUAAUCGGAUUUACUGGGCGUAAAGCGCGCGUAGGCGGCCAAUUAAGUCAAAUGUGAAAUCCCCGAGCUUAACUUGGGAAUUGCAUUCGAUACUGUUUGGCUAGAGUGUGGGAGAGGAUGGUAGAAUUCCAGGUGUAGCGGUGAAAUGCGUAGAGAUCUGGAGGAAUACCGAUGGCGAAGGCAGCCAUCUGGCCUAACACUGACGCUGAGGUGCGAAAGCAUGGGGAGCAAACAGGAUUAGAUACCCUGGUAGUCCAUGCCGUAAACGAUGUCUACUAGCCGUUGGGGCCUUUGAGGCUUUAGUGGCGCAGCUAACGCGAUAAGUAGACCGCCUGGGGAGUACGGUCGCAAGACUAAAACUCAAAUGAAUUGACGGGGGGCCCGCACAAGCGGUGGAGCAUGUGGUUNUAAUUUCGAUGCAACGC
Molecule: ribosomal RNA, 920 nt
Filed under: Acinetobacter sp. 6_SBR2
Lineage: Bacteria; Pseudomonadati; Pseudomonadota; Gammaproteobacteria; Moraxellales; Moraxellaceae
Description: bacterial SSU rRNA
Rfam family: Bacterial small subunit ribosomal RNA
Source: RNAcentral